ACAUAGCACAUUCGAGGUAGACGCAGAGAACUGAAACAUCUAAGUACCUGUAGGAAGAGAAAGAAAAUUCGAUUCCCUGAGUAGCGGCGAGCGAAACGGGAAAAGCCCAAACCAACAAGCUUGCUUGUUGGGGUUGUAGGACUCCAAUAUGGUCGUUCUUUCAGAUAGUCGAAUGACUUGGAAAAGUCAGUCAAAGAGGGUAAAAACCCCGUAGACGAAAUGUGGAAGACACCUAGGAGGAUCCUGAGUACGGCGGAACACGAGAAAUUCCGUCGGAAUCCGGGAGGACCAUCUCCCAAGGCUAAAUACUCCCUAGUGACCGAUAGUGAACCAGUACCGUGAGGGAAAGGUGAAAAGCACCCCGGAAGGGGAGUGAAAUAGAACCUGAAACCGUGUGCCUACAACAAGUCAAAGCCCGUUAAUGGGUGAUGGCGUGCCUUUUGUAGAAUGAACCGGCGAGUUACGAUUGCAUGCGAGGUUAAGUUGAAGAGACGGAGCCGCAGCGAAAGCGAGUCUGAAUAGGGCGUUUGAGUAUGUAGUCGUAGACCCGAAACCAUGUGAUCUACCCAUGUCCAGGUUGAAGGUGCGGUAAAACGCACUGGAGGACCGAACCCACGUACGUUGAAAAGUGCGGGGAUGAGGUGUGGGUAGCGGAGAAAUUCCAAACGAACUUGGAGAUAGCUGGUUCUCUCCGAAAUAGCUUUAGGGCUAGCCUCGGAAUUGAGAAUGAUGGAGGU
RNAcentral lists this ribosomal RNA (737 nucleotides) under Enterococcus faecium. Its description in RNAcentral is "partial 23S ribosomal RNA". It matches the Rfam family "Bacterial large subunit ribosomal RNA", at positions 164 to 903 of the family's 2925-position model. Lineage: Bacteria; Bacillati; Bacillota; Bacilli; Lactobacillales; Enterococcaceae. The record is from RNAcentral.